GGCUGCGAUCAUCUCCAGGGGGCUCGAGAGGAGAAUACCCUCCCCUGCAGCUCUGAAGGUCCCCACAUUCCUGACUAUGGCCCCUUCCCCAUCGUCAAAGCCCACCUAUACCCCUGCCCAUCUAAAGACCCGCCCCCCACCCCAGGUAAUCCAGACUAAUCUCUCUACUCGAAGGCCAGCUAACUAGCAACCCUAAUUCCUCUGCAACCUUAGUUUCCCUUUGCCACAUAGUACAACAUAUUCGGUUUCCAGGGAUUAAGAAUGAGCAUCUUCGGAUGUGUGUGCCUACCACAGCCCCCACUUUACUAUCCUGGCCCCUGGCCACUGUCCCUGCAGAGCCUAAUGGGAAAAUCGGCCUUGAGCACGUGUUCCCACUUUAUAGCUGAGAAAACGGAAGCUCAGAGAGUGCGAGCAUCUCCCUAGCAGUCACACAGCAUAGAGCUGAGGUGCCAGCUCAGCCCUGCCUGCCUCUGAGUUUGAGAACAGGGUGCAGAGCUGCGGUCAGGAUCUGGGGGAAGGUCAUGCGGGGGCACUAAAGACAUCUGCCCCAACAGCACCUGGGAGGGCCUGGCUUUGGUGGGGAUGCGAAGGCCGGCCUAGCUCUUCGAAGCUCCCGGCACUCAAGCAGGAAGGCAACGCUGGCAGGCACUGACAACACGGGGGGCAGCGGUGCCAGGGGCUGCGUGAUUCAUGGUCCAGCAGAUGCCUCCCUGUACCAAUGUGCUGAUUCUUAAUAAAACAGAUUCAUUUAUCUCUGACAUUUAUGACCGGAGACAGAAAUCACAUUGGGGUAAAUGUAUUACUUUUCAAAUACAUGUUUGUUUCUUCUUCAUCACCUGCCGGUAAGCAGAUGCAGGUAACAGUUAUUUAUUUGAGGUCCCUAUUAACUGGUAAUUUAGUUGCUAACACGCUAUGGAAGAUACAAUUAUGCAGGUGAGAGCACUGUCUCUGGUGACGAGCCAGGCUGUAGAACUGGGUGGAGACCCUGCCACAGCCCUGCAACAUGGGGACUGUGACCCAGCGAGCCCAGAGAGGCCAGCAGCAGCUAAGGGGUGGUCCAACAGAAGUCAAGGACCCUGAGCUCUGAGACUGGGAACUGGGGAAUUCAAGGGACACCAGGGAAGGGGACAAUGGAUCAUCCUGGGGCCGCAGUGGGUCUGGAAGCAGGACACAAGCGUGGUAAAGAAGAGGAAGGGCUGAGGACUUGAGGGUGG
RNAcentral lists this long non-coding RNA (1214 nucleotides) under Canis lupus familiaris (dog). Its description in RNAcentral is "lncRNA (ENSCAFG00000059437.1)". The record is from RNAcentral. Lineage: Eukaryota; Metazoa; Chordata; Mammalia; Carnivora; Canidae.